Molecule: transfer RNA, 63 nt
Filed under: Celleporella hyalina
Lineage: Eukaryota; Metazoa; Bryozoa; Gymnolaemata; Cheilostomatida; Hippothoidae
Description: tRNA-Trp
Source: RNAcentral
AGCGGUUUAGGUUAAAAAAACCAUAAGAUUUCAAGUCUUAAAUUAAGAGAUUCUUAGACGCUA